This 376-nucleotide ribosomal RNA is filed under the name uncultured bacterium. RNAcentral describes it as "bacterial SSU rRNA". It matches the Rfam family "Bacterial small subunit ribosomal RNA", at positions 523 to 897 of the family's 1533-position model. The record is from RNAcentral.
AUACGUAGGUGGCGAGCGUUGUCCGGAUUUACUGGGCGUAAAGGGUGCGUAGGCGGAUAUUUAAGUGGGAUGUGAAAACCCCGGGCUUAACCUGGGGACUGCAUUUCAAACUGGAUAUCUGGAGUGCAGGAGAGGAAAGCGGAAUUCCUAGUGUAGCGGUGAAAUGCGUAGAGAUUAGGAAGAACACCAGUGGCGAAGGCGGCUUUCUGGACUGUAACUGACGCUGAGGCACGAAAGCGUGGGUAGCAAACAGGAUUAGAUACCCUGGUAGUCCACGCCGUAAACGAUGAGUACUAGGUGUAGGAGGUAUCGACCCCUUCUGUGCCGCAGUAAACGCAAUAAGUACUCCGCCUGGGAAGUACGAUCGCAAGAUUAA